This 326-nucleotide long non-coding RNA is filed under the name Elaeis guineensis (African oil palm). RNAcentral's name for it is "long non-coding RNA (EGUI_LNC030020)". The record is from RNAcentral. Lineage: Eukaryota; Viridiplantae; Streptophyta; Magnoliopsida; Arecales; Arecaceae.
UCCUUUUUAUGACGAGGUGAAUGGGCUUAAAGUUGGAGUAAGUACCAAAUGUAUGGUUAUUAUGAAAUUUGAUGUGACAUAGAUGGCUUUUAGAAAGGACUAUUAUCAAAUGUCGUAACUUUUGAAUGAGAACCUAAUGAUAAGGACUUAUCUGCAAAUUAUUAGAUAUGUUAAUCAUGCAUGUUCAUUUAUAAAAUAGAAAGUCAUACGCAAACAUUUCUUUUUCACCCACUACUAAUCUGUGAGCAAAUUUAAGCUAAGGUUGUCCAGCAUUAGAUAUGUAUCCAGCAAUUUCCACAUCGAACCAUUGCUGAUUUUCUGUUUUG